RNAcentral lists this ribosomal RNA (571 nucleotides) under Condylostoma spatiosum. Its description in RNAcentral is "LSU rRNA". It matches the Rfam family "Eukaryotic large subunit ribosomal RNA", at positions 47 to 679 of the family's 3401-position model. The record is from RNAcentral. Lineage: Eukaryota; Ciliophora; Heterotrichea; Heterotrichida; Condylostomatidae.
UAAGCGGAGGAAAAGAAACUAACCAGGAUUGCCCCAGUAACGGCGAGUGAAGCGGCAACAGCCCACACUGAAAAUCGCUUCGGCGAGUUGUACAGUGAAGAGUAGCUCUUGCGGAAGGCGGCCUCUGUAACUUCCUUGGAACAGGAGACCAGAGAGGGUGAUAGUCCCGUGCCAGAGGCUGCUGAUCGAUAGAGCGCGUUCUAAGAGUCGGGUAGUUUGGGAUUGCUGCCCUAAGCGGGAGGUAGACUCCUCCUAAGGCUAAAUAUUAACGAGAGACCGAUAGUGGACAAGUACUGUGAAGGAAAGAUGAAAAGAACUUUGGAAAGAGAGUUAAAAGACUUGAAACCGUUGAGGAGGAAGCAGUGUGCUAGGCAUAGUCAUAGGAUGAGGAGGAGAAGGGAGGCUGAACCUGAGUGGGAAGUCGAAGAUCUCCGAAUCAGCUAUGGCGCCUGGUAGACUGGCCCGUCUUGAAACACGGACCAAAAAGUCUAACCCACCUCAAGGCACUCCGGUGACUCUGCUGCUACGGUUUUUACUGACCCGUCUUGAAACACGGACCAAGGAGUCUAAC